UGGGGAAUCUUGGACAAUGGGCGCAAGCCUGAUCCAGCCAUGCCGCGUGAGUGACGAAGGUCUUCGGAUUGUAAAGCUCUUUUUGGCGGGGACGAUAAUGACGGUACCCGCAGAAUAAGCCCCGGCUAACUUCGUGCCAGCAGCCGCGGUAAUACGAAGGGGGCUAGCGUUGUUCGGAAUUACUGGGCGUAAAGCGCACGUAGGCGGAUCUAUAAGUCAGGGGUGAAAUCCCGGGGCUCAACCUCGGAACUGCCCUUGAUACUGCAAAUCUAGAGUCCGGAAGAGGUUAGUGGAAUCCCCAGUGUAGAGGUGAAAUUCGUAGAUAUUGGGAAGAACACCAGUGGCGAAGGCGGCUAACUGGUCCGGUACUGACGCUGAGGUGCGAAAGCGUGGGGAGCAAACAGGAUUAGAUACCCUCGUAGUCCCUGAGCGGGCUGGCAAGGCGCAU
This 448-nucleotide ribosomal RNA is filed under the name uncultured bacterium. RNAcentral describes it as "bacterial SSU rRNA". It matches the Rfam family "Bacterial small subunit ribosomal RNA", at positions 355 to 825 of the family's 1533-position model. The record is from RNAcentral.